Molecule: non-coding RNA, 92 nt
Organism: Mycena crocata
Lineage: Eukaryota; Fungi; Basidiomycota; Agaricomycetes; Agaricales; Mycenaceae
Source: the annotation of a GenBank genome assembly
GGGCGCAUGGUGUAGUUGGUUAUCACGCUCGCUUAGCAUAACAGCUAUAUGAUGUUUGCGAGAGGUGUUGGGUUCAAUUCCCAAUGCGUCCA